ACGCUCGACACCUACGGGAGCAGCAGUGGGGAAUAUUGGGCAAUGGGCGCAAGCCUGACCCAGCAACGCCGCGUGAAGGAAGAAGGCUUUCGGGUUGUAAACUUCUUUUGUCAGGGACGAAUAAAUGACGGUACCUGACGAAUAAGCCACGGCUAACUACGUGCCAGCAGCCGCGGUAAUCUGAGCGGGCUGGCAAGGC
This 199-nucleotide ribosomal RNA is filed under the name uncultured bacterium. RNAcentral describes it as "partial 16S ribosomal RNA". It matches the Rfam family "Bacterial small subunit ribosomal RNA", at positions 328 to 539 of the family's 1533-position model. The record is from RNAcentral.